RNAcentral lists this ribosomal RNA (460 nucleotides) under uncultured bacterium. RNAcentral describes it as "partial 16S ribosomal RNA". It matches the Rfam family "Bacterial small subunit ribosomal RNA", at positions 338 to 795 of the family's 1533-position model. The record is from RNAcentral.
CCUACGGGAGGCAGCAGUGAGGAAUAUUGGUCAAUGGACGCAAGUCUGAACCAGCCAAGUAGCGUGAAGGAUGACUGCCCUAUGGGUUGUAAACUUCUUUUGUAUGGGAAUAAAAUGUUCCACGUGUGUGAUUUUGUAUGUACCAUAUGAAUAAGGAUCGGCUAACUCCGUCCCAGCAGCCGCGGUAAUACGGAGGAUCCGAGCGUUAUCCGGAUUUAUUGGGUUUAAAGGGUGCGUAGGUGGUUUGUUAAGUUAGUUGUGAAAGCUUGCGGCUCAACCGUAAAACUGCAGUUGAAACUGGCAGUCUUGAGUACAGUAGAGGUGGGCGGAAUUCGUGGUGUAGCGGUGAAAUGCAUAGAUAUCAUGCAGAACUCCGAUUGCGAAGGCAGCUCACUGGACUGCAACUGACACUGAGGCUCGAAAGUGUGGGUAGCAAACAGGAUUAGAUACCCCUGUAGUC